RNAcentral lists this small RNA (1446 nucleotides) under Rattus norvegicus (Norway rat). RNAcentral's name for it is "uncharacterized LOC108351791". The record is from RNAcentral. Lineage: Eukaryota; Metazoa; Chordata; Mammalia; Rodentia; Muridae.
UGUCUACAACACAUGAGUGUUUUCUCUGAGUCGGUAGACAACGUGCUCAUUCAACCAGGAGUCCUAGCAAGUAAGUGCUUUGGUGAUUCUAGAACCUGUUCAUAGUGACAAGGAGCCCGAAAGUUUAAGAAAAAAAAUACCUUCCACACACGUUCUGAAACUCGGGGGAGGCAAGUGAUUGACAGGUCCCAGAAGUUUGGGAAAGCAACAGCUUUUAAACAAGCUCACCAGGAAAAUAGCAAGGUGGGAAGAAAGGCCAGGUUCUUCUCUCUCUGGACUAUGAGCAGAAAGCUGAAUCUUUCUGGGAAGGGGACACAGCCACUCCAUGAAGGGGAGGGGUGCUCUCUGACCACGAACCCCAGUUCCACCAGCCAUUGCCCAUCACCCAGAGGUGCAACAGGAAUGUUGAGGGAGAACCAAGCUCCCCUGGCUGCUAUUGGUCCAUGAAAGUAGGAGAGUGGGUGCCAGGGCUCCACAGACAGCUUUAGGUAGAUGGUGAGUCCACCAACCUAUAAAACAAGUAUUCGCCAAGACUGAGUGCUCCAAUUCAACAUGGAUGCUCUGUCAGGGAUCAUUGUGGAGUCCAAGGCAGUGAGGUGCAGCAGACCUCUGGAAUCCUGCUUGCCUUAGCCUUGCUCUGCCCUGACAGCUCCAAGUGUGGGAUUCAAGCUCCUGUGUGAGAUGCCUACAUAAUAACUACUUGCAGUUCUUGGAUUCAGAAAACCAGGUGUGCUGAGCACCUGCCCUGUCUGUGCAGAAGAUUCCCACCCAUGAGUCAUACGGGAUACCCAGCUAGGGAGGACCAGAGAGAGAGAGGACGUGAAACCACCAGGGAGAUCUUGAAGCCCCAGAGAAGGAUGCAGCUGAGUAGCCUGUGGUCUAGCAGAUGGAGGAGUGGUGGUACUGAGCAGUGAGGAAUGGUUGCUCCCCAGAUGGUGGCACUGCUGUGGGAAGUUAUGGGACCUUCAGGAGGCGGAGCCUUGCUGGAGAAAGUGAGCCACCAGCACAUUCUACAAUCUCAGUGCUAGACAGGCAUGAGGAUUCCUGGGUCUGACUAGCCGGCCAGCGUAGUGGAUACUUCCCACUCCGAUACAGCGAAAGACUAUUUCUCAAACAAUGAGGUAGAGUGUUAACUGAGGAGGGCACCCAAGUUGACCUUUGAUACCCCCACCUUCAUGCAGGUCCACCUGCACACACCUACAUAUGGACACACAUACAUACACUAAAGAGAACCAACACAGCAUGACCAACUGAAGCCCAGGGCACCGUGAAGGACAACCUGAUAUUACUAAAUGUACACAUGUCAUCGACCACACCAAUAAAAUGGAGACUUUGUAAGCAUCUCCAGGGAGACCGGAAAGUGAUCAGGCAUGACUCCCAUUCUCUGUCCACCAGGUUUGUCUGGGGCUUUUGGUAGUAAAGCAAGGGAAGUCUGAGGACAGAGGG